CCUACGGGAGGCAGCAGUGGGGAAUAUUGGGCAAUGGGCGCAAGCCUGACCCAGCAACGCCGCGUGAAGGAAGAAGUCUUUCGGGUUGUAAACUUCUUUCGACAGGGAAGAGCAGAAGACGGUACCUGCCGAAUAAGCCACGGCUACCUACGUGCAAGCAGCCGCGGUAAUACGUAGGUGGCAAGCGUGGUCCGGAUGUACUGGGUGUAAAUGGCGUGUAGCCGGGCUGGCAAGUCAGAUGUGAAAUCCGGGGGCUCAACCCCCGAACUGCAUUUGAAACUGUUGGGCUUGAGUCUCGGAGAGGCAGGCGGAAUUCCUGGUGUAGCGGUGAAAUGCGUAGAUAUUAGGAGGAACACCAGUGGCGAAGGCGGCCUGCUGGACGACGACUGACGGUGAGGCGCGAAAGCGUGGGGAGCAAACAGGAUUAGAUACCCCAGUAGUC
RNAcentral lists this ribosomal RNA (442 nucleotides) under uncultured bacterium. Its description in RNAcentral is "partial 16S ribosomal RNA". It matches the Rfam family "Bacterial small subunit ribosomal RNA", at positions 338 to 795 of the family's 1533-position model. The record is from RNAcentral.